GCUUGUCUCAAAGAUUAAGCCAUGCAUGUCUAAGUAUAAACUGCUUAUACUGUGAAACUGCGAAUGGCUCAUUAAAUCAGUUAUAGUUUAUUUGAUGGUACCUACUACUCGGAUAACCGUAGUAAUUCUAGAGCUAAUACAUGCACAAAGGCCCGACUCACGAAGGGCUGUAUUUAUUAGAUUUAAAGCCGACAUCUUUUGGUGAUUCAUAAUAACUCGCGGAUCGGUUUACCGAUGCAUCAUUCAAGUUUCUGCCCUAUCAGCUUUGGAUGGUAGGGUAUUGGCCUACCAUGGCUUUAACGGGUAACGGAGAAUUAGGGUUCGAUUCCGGAGAGGGAGCCUGAGAAAUGGCUACCACAUCCAAGGAAGGCAGCAGG
This 377-nucleotide ribosomal RNA is filed under the name uncultured Chrysophyceae. RNAcentral describes it as "partial small subunit ribosomal RNA". It matches the Rfam family "Eukaryotic small subunit ribosomal RNA", at positions 30 to 432 of the family's 1831-position model. The record is from RNAcentral. Lineage: Eukaryota; Chrysophyceae.